RNAcentral lists this long non-coding RNA (395 nucleotides) under Homo sapiens (human). Its description in RNAcentral is "non-protein coding lnc-ARSD-5:1". Lineage: Eukaryota; Metazoa; Chordata; Mammalia; Primates; Hominidae. The record is from RNAcentral.
UCUUCUUGAUCGGGGAUUCAGGAAGGAGCCCAGGAGCAGAGGAAGUAGAGAGAGAGACAACAUGUUACAUCUGCACCAUUCUUGAGACAGGGUCUCACCAUGUUGCUCAAGCUGGUCUUAAACACCUGGGCUCAGGCAAUGCUCCCACCUUGGCCUCCCAACGUGCUCAGAUAAUGGGCAUGAGCCACCACGCCUGACCGCUUCUGGAUCUCUUGAUGGUGCUUUCUCAGAAUGCACUGAUAGUGAUUUAUCCUGCAUCUGGAGAAUGAAGCAUGAGACCCGUGAUUAAUAGAUGUGCUCCAGGCUCCCUUGAUUUGAUGUUGCCCCAGGCAGCCUCAGAAGGAAUUGUAUUUCAUUCUCUGCAAAUCAGUUUGUGUUUCAGGAGCUGGCUGCCA